Molecule: ribosomal RNA, 543 nt
Filed under: uncultured bacterium
Lineage: Bacteria
Description: bacterial SSU rRNA
Rfam family: Bacterial small subunit ribosomal RNA
Source: RNAcentral
AAUAGAUACCCUGGUAGUCCACGCCGUAAACGAUGAGUGCUAAGUGUUAGGGGGUUUCCGCCCCUUAGUGCUGCAGCUAACGCAUUAAGCACUCCGCCUGGGGAGUACGGUCGCAAGACUGAAACUCAAAGGAAUUGACGGGGGCCCGCACAAGCGGUGGAGCAUGUGGUUUAAUUCGAAGCAACGCGAAGAACCUUACCAGGUCUUGACAUCCCACUGACCGCUAUGGAGACAUAGUUUUCCCUUCGGGGACAGUGGUGACAGGUGGUGCAUGGUUGUCGUCAGCUCGUGUCGUGAGAUGUUGGGUUAAGUCCCGCAACGAGCGCAACCCUUGAUUUUAGUUGCCAUCAUUUAGUUGGGCACUCUAAGGUGACUGCCGGUGACAAACCGGAGGAAGGUGGGGAUGACGUCAAAUCAUCAUGCCCCUUAUGACCUGGGCUACACACGUGCUACAAUGGACGGUACAAACGGUUGCCAACCCGCGAGGGGAGCUAAUCCGAUAAAACCGUUCUCAGUUCGGAUUGUAGGCUGCAACUCGCCUAC